GCCAGUUUAUCAAGAUAACUCGUUCCAGAUCCUGAUUGAUACUCGGCAAAGUAAUGUGAACUACAAAGAGAUCACCGUCAACGCCAGGGGGACAGUGUCAGACAUCAUGAUGACCAAGGUGAGAGACAACUAUGUCCCUAAGCUCAGUUGUGGUUUUCUGUGCGUUUUUGUUGUUGUUGUUGUUGUUGUUGUUGUUGUUGUUGUUGUUGUUGUUGUUGUAAUUCUGUCAAACUCUAACGUCCAACUAUACAUUGAAUUUGCCAUAACUAAGGGUAGAUUGGAGGGAGGAGAGAUGAUUUAUGGAAGGAGAGAGAUAAGAACAAAAGGAAGAUAAAAAGAAUUAGAACUUGGAAAACAGACG
Aplysia californica (California sea hare) is the source of this 361-nucleotide long non-coding RNA. RefSeq lists it as uncharacterized. The record is from RefSeq and is a predicted model, not a curated record. The transcript is spliced from 3 exons. Lineage: Eukaryota; Metazoa; Mollusca; Gastropoda; Aplysiida; Aplysiidae.